CCUACGGGAGGCAGCAGUGAGGAAUAUUGGACAAUGGGCGCAAGCCUGAUCCAGCCAUGCCGCGUGCAGGAUGACGGUCCUAUGGAUUGUAAACUGCUUUUGUACAGGAAGAAACACUCCCUCGUGAGGGAGCUUGACGGUACUGUAAGAAUAAGGAUCGGCUAACUCCGUGCCAGCAGCCGCGGUAAUACGGAGGAUCCAAGCGUUAUCCGGAAUCAUUGGGUUUAAAGGGUCCGUAGGCGGUCAGAUAAGUCAGUGGUGAAAGCCCAUCGCUCAACGGUGGAACGGCCAUUGAUACUGUCUGACUUGAAUUAUUAGGAAGUAACUAGAAUAUGUAGUGUAGCGGUGAAAUGCUUAGAGAUUACAUGGAAUACCAAUUGCGAAGGCAGGUUACUACUAAUGGAUUGACGCUGAUGGACGAAAGCGUGGGUAGCGAACAGGAUUAGAUACCCUGGUAGUCCACGCCGUAAACGAUGGAUACUAGCUGUUGGGAGCAAUUUCAGUGGCUAAGCGAAAGUGAUAAGUAUCCCACCUGGGGAGUACGUUCGCAAGAAUGAAACUCAAAUGAAUUGACGGNGUGAGACGAGCGAGGACGACGACGAGGGAGGAGG
RNAcentral lists this ribosomal RNA (611 nucleotides) under uncultured bacterium. RNAcentral describes it as "bacterial SSU rRNA". It matches the Rfam family "Bacterial small subunit ribosomal RNA", at positions 338 to 951 of the family's 1533-position model. The record is from RNAcentral.